Non-coding RNA from Xylariomycetidae sp. FL0641, 81 nucleotides. Lineage: Eukaryota; Fungi; Ascomycota; Sordariomycetes. The record is from the annotation of a GenBank genome assembly.
GGUUCUAUAGUGUAAGGGUUAUCACAUUGGAUUCUGAUUCAGAAUUUUCCAAUAAUCUGAGUUCGAAUCUCAGUAGGACCU